This 492-nucleotide ribosomal RNA is filed under the name uncultured bacterium. RNAcentral's name for it is "partial 16S ribosomal RNA". It matches the Rfam family "Bacterial small subunit ribosomal RNA", at positions 29 to 507 of the family's 1533-position model. The record is from RNAcentral.
AGUGAACGCUGGCGGUAGGCCUAACACAUGCAAGUCGAACGGCAGCACAGUAAGAGCUUGCUCUUACGGGUGGCGAGUGGCGGGCGGGUGAGGAAUACAUCGGAGUCUACUUUUUCGUGGGGGAUAACGUAGGGAAACUUACGCUAAUACCGCAUACGACCUACGGGUGAAAGCAGGGGAUCUUCGGCCCUUGCGCGAUUGAAUGAGCCGAUGUCGGAUUAGCUAGUUGGCGGGGUAAAGGCCCACCAAGGCGACGAUCCGUAGCUGGUCUGAGAGGAUGAUCAGCCACACUGGAACUGAGACACGGUCCAGACUCCUACGGGAGGCAGCAGUGGGGAAUAUUGGACAAUGGGCGCAAGCCUGAUCCAGCCAUACCGCGUGGGUGAAGAAGGCCUUCGGGUUGUAAAGCCCUUUUGUUUGGGAAGAAAAGCAGCAGGUUAAUACCCCGCUGUUCUGACGGUACCCAAAGAAUAAGCACCGGCUAACUUCGUG